Larimichthys crocea (large yellow croaker) is the source of this 222-nucleotide small nucleolar RNA. Its record names the gene SNORA73. It matches the Rfam family "Small nucleolar RNA SNORA73 family". Rfam says of the family: U17 (SNORA73A and SNORA73B) also known as E1 belongs to the H/ACA class of small nucleolar RNAs (snoRNAs). Vertebrate U17 is intron-encoded and ranges in length from 200-230 nucleotides, longer than most snoRNAs. The record is from Ensembl. NCBI's taxonomy places the organism in Eukaryota, Metazoa, Chordata, Actinopteri, Sciaenidae.
CCGACGUGGACAUCCAGCGAGGUUGCUCUCCUGGCUCUGUCCUGGUGGCGUAUGGGAGCGUAGCCUCCAGGCUGAGACGUACAGUCCCGUUCCACGUCGUCGGAGACUAAGCUCUGUCCCCGGCCGGCUGGUCGGUGAGGACGGGCGUCCUGCAUAUUCCUACAUCUUCCCAGAGUCCCUCUGGGGCCGUUACUGGGGAGCUAAACCAUGCAGUGCACAUGA